GUACGUUGGAGUAGACCCGAAACCGGGUGACCUAUCCAUGAGCAGGUUGAAGCAAGGGUAAAGCCUUGUGGAGGACCGAACCGUCAACGGCUGAAAACGUUCCGGAUGACUUGUGGAUAGGGGUGAAAGGUCAAUCAAACCCGGUGAUAGCUGGUUCUCCCCGAAAUAUAUUGAGGUAUAGCCUCGGGAAUUGAUUAGCGGAGGUAAAGCACUGACAGAGCUAGGGGUCCUACCAGAUUACCAAACUCUAUCAAACUCAGAAUGCCGCUUAAUUGUAUCCCGGGAGUCAGACGGCGGGUGCGAAGGUUCGUCGUCAAAAGGGAAACAGCCCAGACCAACAGCUAAGGUCUCCAAAUCCAUGCUCAGUGGUGAAGGUAGUGGAACCGUUUAGACAGCCAGGACGUUGGCUUAGAAGCAGCCAUCGUUUAAAGAAAGCGUAAUAGCUCACUGGUCUAAUGGCUCUGCGCCGAAAAUGUAACGGGGCUAAGCAUGGUACCGAAGCUUUGGCAAUCCCCUUUGGGGAUUGGGUAGGGGAGCGUUCGCUGCGGGCUGAAGGUGUAUCGGAAGGUAUGCUGGACUGCAGUGAAGUGAUUAUGCUGACAUGAGUAACGAUAAAAUAUGUGAAAAACAUAUUCGCCGAAAACCCGAGGUUUCCUGGGUAAAGGUAAUCUUCCCAGGGUUAGUCGGAUCCUAAGGUGAGGGUGAAAGCCGUAACCGAUGGAAAACAGGUUAAUAUUCCUGUACUUGUUGUGUAGCGCGAUGGAGGGACGCAGGAAGAUAGGCGGGCCGGGUGUUGGAUAUCCCGGUGCAAGCGUGUAGGAAUAUCCGGUAGGCAAAUCCGCCGGACGAAUCUGAGACGCGAGUCCGUGGGCGCAAGCCCUGAAGCCGUUGAGUCUAUGCUGCCUAGAAAAGCUCCUAAGUUUAUCCACAGCAAUCCGUACCGCAAACCAACUCAGGUGGGUGGGAUGAACAAUCCAAGGCGCUCGAGAGAACUCUGGCCAAGGAACUCGGCAAAAUAACCCCGUAACUUCGGAAGAAGGGGUGCUCUCUAGGGUGACAUGUUUAACAUAUGAAGCCCCGGGGAGCCGCAGUGAAUUGGUGGUGGCGACUGUUUACUAAAAACAUAGGUCUGUGCGAAGUCCUAAAGACGACGUAUACGGACUGACGCCUGCCCGGUGCUGGAAGGUUAAAAGGAGGGGUCAGCGCAAGCAAAGCUCCGAAUUGAAGCCCCAGUAAACGGCGGCCGUAACUAUAACGGUCCUAAGGUAGCGAAAUUCCUUGUCGGGUAAGUUCCGACCUGCACGAAUGGCGUAACGAUCUCCACACUGUCUCGGCCAGAGACUCGGUGAAAUUGCAGUCGCGGUGAAAAUUCCGUGUACCCGCAGAAAGACGGAAAGACCCUGUGCACCUUUACUAUAGCUUGACAUUGGAUUUUGGGCCUGCAUGUGUAGGAUAGGUGGGAGGCUGUGAACCCUGUACGCCAGUAUGGGGGGAGCCAUCCUUGAAAUACCACCCUUGCAUGUUUAAGAUCCUAACUUCUUCCGGUUAUCCCGGAGAAAGACAGUGUCUGGCGGGUAGUUUGACUGGGGCGGUCGCCUCCUAAAGUGUAACGGAGGCAUGCAAAGGUUCCCUCAGCCUGAUCGGAAACCAGGCGCUGAGUGCAAACGCAUAAGGGAGCUUGACUGUAAGAGAGACAUCUCGAACAGGAACGAAAGUUGGCGUUAGUGAUCCGGUGGUCCCGAAUGGAAGGGCCAUCGCUCAUUGGAUAAAAGGUACGCCGGGGAUAACAGGCUGAUCGCAUCCAAGAGUUCACAUCGACGAUGCGGUUUGGCACCUCGAUGUCGGCUCAUCACAUCCUGGGGCUGAAGCAGGUCCCAAGGGUACGGCUGUUCGCCGUUUAAAGUGGUACGCGAGCUGGGUUUAAAACGUCGUGAGACAGUUUGGUCCCUAUCUUCUGUGGGCGAAGGAGAAUUGAGAGGGCCUGUCCCUAGUACGAGAGGACCGGGAUGGACGCACCCCUGGCGAUCCUGUUGUCGCGCCAGCGGCAUAGCAGGG
This 2055-nucleotide ribosomal RNA is filed under the name human gut metagenome. RNAcentral describes it as "bacterial LSU rRNA". It matches the Rfam family "Bacterial large subunit ribosomal RNA", at positions 699 to 2745 of the family's 2925-position model. The record is from RNAcentral.